UUUCCUUGCAUCUCCAUGGACACCAGGGACAACAUUUCUAUUUCUUAUGUUAAGAAUGUUCAUCUUAGCUAUCCCUCUUUCCCACUGUUGGCCUAGUCUAAGAACUGUGCAGAGUUCUCAAGAGCGCUCUGUGGCCCCAGGUCAGACCACUCCUGUUUCUGGUGCCCUGCUAAUUCUCAGGACUACAGCACUACCAGAGGCCAGAUUAAGAACUGCUGUCGUGGCUAGAGUCAAGCCCCCGAGUCAGUGGUACUGACAGAACCCAAUCAUUCAUUUCUUGAACCCGUCAUGGUCUUGUGAUUGUGUGCGUGUGUGUUUUGCAGAGAAGGAGCCCUCAGUUCUGAGAAAAGUACUGUUGGAGGAUGAGGUGUUGGCUGCCAUGGUGUCUGUCAUUGGCACUGCUACGACCCACCUGAGCCCUGAGUUAGCUGCCCAGAGUGUCACACACAUUGUGCCCCUCUUCUUGGAUGGCAAUGUCUCUUUUCUGCCUGAAAACAGCUUCCCGAGCAGAUUCCAGCCAUUCCAGGAUGGCUCCUCAGGGCAGAGGCGGCUGAUUGCACUGCUUAUGGCCUUUGUCUGCUCCCUGCCUCGAAAUGUAAGUGAGCACAUUUGGGAAGUACCAUUAUUUAACCUUGACAAGGUGACUCUGGGCUGAAAUUUGCCACAGGCUAAGCUGAUCUUUUACUUCCCCCACCAGAGAAGUUAGUUCUCAUCCGUCCCGGUCCCUGCUGCCACUGUGUACUGGGUCUCUUGGAGUUCAAGUGUUCUCUGGGUCCAUUACAUGGCCAGGUUUUCUGUAGGUGGAAAUCCCUCAGCUGAACCAACUCAUGCGGG
Molecule: small RNA, 834 nt
Filed under: Pongo abelii (Sumatran orangutan)
Lineage: Eukaryota; Metazoa; Chordata; Mammalia; Primates; Hominidae
Description: retained intron
Source: RNAcentral